This 500-nucleotide ribosomal RNA is filed under the name uncultured bacterium. Its description in RNAcentral is "bacterial SSU rRNA". It matches the Rfam family "Bacterial small subunit ribosomal RNA", at positions 501 to 1000 of the family's 1533-position model. The record is from RNAcentral.
CUACGUGCCAGCAGCCGCGGUAAUACGUAGGUGGCGAGCGUUAUCCGGAAUUAUUGGGCGUAAAGGGUGCGUAGGCGGCCUGUUAAGUAAGUGGUUAAAUUGUUGGGCUCAACCCAAUCCAGCCACUUAAACUGGCAGGCUAGAGUAUUGGAGAGGCAAGUGGAAUUCCAUGUGUAGCGGUAAAAUGCGUAGAUAUAUGGAGGAACACCAGUGGCGAAGGCGACUUUCUGGACGAAAACUGACGCUGAGGCGCGAAAGCCAGGGGAGCGAACGGGAUUAGAUACCCCGGUAGUCCUGGCCGUAAACGAUGGGUACUAGGUGUAGGAGGUAUCGACCCCUUCUGUGCCGGAGUUAACGCAAUAAGUACCCCGCCUGGGGAGUACGACCGCAAGGUUGAAACUCAAAUGAAUUGACGGGGGCCCGCACAAGCGGUGGAGCAUGUGGUUUAAUUCGAUGCAACGCGAAGAACCUUACCUACUCUUGACAUCCAGAGAACAUUC